CCUACGGGUGGCAGCAGUGGGGAAUAUUGCACAAUGGGCGCAAGCCUGAUGCAGCCAUGCCGCGUGUGUGAAGAAGGCCUUCGGGUUGUAAAGCACUGUCAGCGGGGAGGAAGGCGGUGAGGUUAAUAACCUCAUCGAUUGACGUUACCCGCAGAAGAAGCACCGGCUAACUCCGUGCCAGCAGCCGCGGUAAUACGGAGGGUGCAAGCGUUAAUCGGAAUUACUGGGCGUAAAGCGCACGCAGGCGGUCUGUCAAGUCGGAUGUGAAAUCCCCGGGCUCAACCUGGGAACUGCAUUCGAAACUGGCAGGCUAGAGUCUUGUAGAGGGGGGUAGAAUUCCAGGUGUAGCGGUGAAAUGCGUAGAGAUCUGGAGGAAUACCGGUGGCGAAGGCGGCCCCCUGGACAAAGACUGACGCUCAGGUGCGAAAGCGUGGGGAGCAAACAGGAUUAGAUACCCUAGUAGUC
Molecule: ribosomal RNA, 465 nt
Filed under: uncultured Klebsiella sp.
Lineage: Bacteria; Pseudomonadati; Pseudomonadota; Gammaproteobacteria; Enterobacterales; Enterobacteriaceae
Description: bacterial SSU rRNA
Rfam family: Bacterial small subunit ribosomal RNA
Source: RNAcentral